AGUGUAGAAGAGAGUGGGAAUGUCAUGUUCUAUCAGGCAACGCACUCCUUUCUCGCUGC
This 59-nucleotide microRNA precursor is filed under the name Monodelphis domestica (gray short-tailed opossum). Its description in RNAcentral is "microRNA mdo-mir-7398f precursor". The record is from miRBase by way of RNAcentral. Lineage: Eukaryota; Metazoa; Chordata; Mammalia; Didelphimorphia; Didelphidae.